AUACUUACCUAGCAGGUGAGAUACCAUGAUCACAAACGUGGUCUUCCCAUGGCGAGGCUAUCCAUUACACUUCAAAUGUGCUGACCCCUGCAAUUUCCCCAAAGGUGGGAAACUCAACAGCUUAAUUUUAGGUAGUGGGGGAUUGCAUUCGUGCGCUCCCCUA
Molecule: small nuclear RNA, 163 nt
Organism: Oryctolagus cuniculus (rabbit)
Lineage: Eukaryota; Metazoa; Chordata; Mammalia; Lagomorpha; Leporidae
Gene: U1
Rfam family: U1 spliceosomal RNA
About the family: U1 is a small nuclear RNA (snRNA) component of the spliceosome (involved in pre-mRNA splicing). Its 5' end forms complementary base pairs with the 5' splice junction, thus defining the 5' donor site of an intron.
Source: Ensembl